GUAACUGAGACUCCACCUAUAGGUUAAAAAUAAACACAACAUCAGAAAAGCAAAAAUUAAUGAAUAUACACAUGUGCAAAUAUGUUUGCAUUGACAGUCAAAAUCCCAAAAAAAUUGACUAGAAUUAAAUCAAUACCUAAAAGGAAGAAGGAUAGAAGUUGCUGGUAUGAACUAAGAACAUUACCACGCAGACUUCUUAGAGACAGCAACAAACCAUGACUAUUGCCUUCCACAUAUGGGGUGGAGGAAUAAAUCAGCAGUAUAAAAAUAAAAACCCAUUGCUGUAAGGACCGUUCCUGAACAUUCUAUUGGGUAUAAUCCAAUGAUAAUAAACUCAGCAUUAAUAAAAAGCAUAUUUUUUUCCACCACAAUCAAGGGUUGAAUUAGUUCACUAUAUCUAAUCAACCUUAGCAGUAAACAAAACCUCUUUACUUACUAAAACACCUUUAGCUUCUCUUGAACUAUCUCUAGCAUCAGAACAGCAAAAGUAUGAAUAUACACGUGCAAUGGUAUAUUUUUUUAGCUUUUGUACUUCAAAGAAGAAUAAUUGACCAUCAAUUUAACCGGGUUGUUUAUAGAUUGAUUCGUGGAUCUUCAAUCAAGUAGUCCAAAAAAAUUAAGGGUUUUUGCGAAUUCGAAAUCAAAUCACCGAAAAUCUAAUUCUAUAAUUUGAACCCAUUUUUUAGAAAAAUAGUCACUAAUCUUCUACAAUUGAGAGACGGGAGUGUGUGAGAGAGACCUUGGUGUGGCUGAUAUGGCGUCCACGUUGAAUCAAUUGUCUACUUCGAUUUUUGUUGAACUGGUACGUCUUCUUCGAUUGGGUGCCGUUGUCGCAGAGAGACGCUGUGGUAGGGUUGAGCCGCCGCGGUUGAGAGACGUGGUCCUCUCUUCUCCCUCUUUCCCUCCCUCACGUUGUGUUUUGGUCCUCUGGAGUCUGGACAUCUAAGGUUUUCUUCAAAAAUUUUUUUUUUUAAUUAGGGGUUAAGUGGGUGGGGCCCACAUAUGACAUCAGCGCCACAUCAGCGG
Molecule: long non-coding RNA, 1026 nt
Filed under: Actinidia chinensis (golden kiwifruit)
Lineage: Eukaryota; Viridiplantae; Streptophyta; Magnoliopsida; Ericales; Actinidiaceae
Description: long non-coding RNA (ACHI_LNC007100)
Source: RNAcentral